UGGAUUAUAAUCGAGGGCAGGGACACAACCGCGAAGAGGAGAGUAGCUCGUACUGUAUCUGAAUCUGUUUUCGGAUCUUUCGAGUCUCUGGUUCAUAUUGACCUUAAGAAGAAAGGAAACGAGUCAAAGGCCAGCCCGGCAACGCUACUUGCUUAUGAAUUGAAGAACCCUGAGAAGGUUGUGUUCUUGAUUGAAGACAUUGAUUUGGCAGAUUCCCGCUUCUUGAAACUCCUUGCUGAUCGGUUUGAGGACAAACGGAGGAUUAAAACCGGUAUCGAUCAUCGCCAAGCCAUCUUUAUUUUGACAAAGGAGGAUUCAAGGAAUGUGAGAAACAGAGACUCUGUUUUGCAAAUUGGUUUGGAGAUCACGGCACAGAGUCCAGGGAAAAAGAGAAAACCCGAAUCGGAUUUAUCGAUCGAGAAUGGGUUUUGGAUGAAGAAGGAAGUGUGCUCUAGGCAAUCGAGUUUCAAUAGCUCUUACCUCGACCUGAACAUAAAAGCUGAAGACGAAGAAGUAGAAGGUGAGAUCAGUCCAAUUUCAAGCGAUUUAACAGGAGAGGAGGAGACAGAGUUC
This 573-nucleotide small RNA is filed under the name Arabidopsis thaliana (thale cress). Its description in RNAcentral is "ATSL300870". Lineage: Eukaryota; Viridiplantae; Streptophyta; Magnoliopsida; Brassicales; Brassicaceae. The record is from RNAcentral.